GACGAACGCUGGCGGCGUGCUUAACACAUGCAAGUCGAACGGAAAGGCCCUGCUUUUGUGGGGUGCUCGAGUGGCGAACGGGUGAGUAACACGUGAGUAACCUGCCCUUGACUUUGGGAUAACUUCAGGAAACUGGGGCUAAUACCGGAUAGGAGCUCCUGCUGCAUGGUGGGGGUUGGAAAGUUUCGGCGGUUGGGGAUGGACUCGCGGCUUAUCAGCUUGUUGGUGGGGUAGUGGCUUACUAAGGCUUUGACGGGUAGCCGGCCUGAGAGGGUGACCGGCCACAUUGGGACUGAGAUACGGCCCAGACUCCUACGGGAGGCAGCAGUGGGGAAUAUUGCACAAUGGGCGGAAGCCUGAUGCAGCAACGCCGCGUGCGGGAUGACGGCCUUCGGGUUGUAAACCGCUUUCGCCUGUGACGAAGCGUGAGUGACGGUAAUGGGUAAAGAAGCACCGGCUAACUAGGUG
This 468-nucleotide ribosomal RNA is filed under the name uncultured bacterium. RNAcentral's name for it is "partial 16S ribosomal RNA". It matches the Rfam family "Bacterial small subunit ribosomal RNA", at positions 28 to 507 of the family's 1533-position model. The record is from RNAcentral.